ACGAACGCUGGCGGCGUGCCUAAUACAUGCAAGUCGAACGGUCUUUCUAUGGAAGCUUGCUUCCACUGAGAAGAUAGUGGCGAACGGGUGAGUAACACGUGGGUAACCUGCCCAUAAGAGGGGGAUAACAUCCGGAAACGGGUGCUAAUACCGCAUAGUUUUCCUGAUCGCAUGAUUGAGAAAGGAAAGACGGCCUUUGUGCUGUCGCUUAUGGAUGGACCCGCGGCGUAUUAGUUAGUUGGUGAGGUAAUGGCUCACCAAGACGAUGAUACGUAGCCGACCUGAGAGGGUGAUCGGCCACAUUGGGACUGAGACACGGCCCAAACUCCUACGGGAGGCAGCAGUAGGGAAUCUUCCGCAAUGGACGAAAGUCUGACGGAGCAACGCCGCGUGAGUGAAAGAAGGUUUUCGGAUCGUAAAACUCUGUUGUCAGAGAAGAACAAGUUGGAGAGUAACUGCUCCAGCCUUGACGGUAUCUGACCAGAAAGCCACGGCUAACUACGUGCCAGCCGCCGC
Molecule: ribosomal RNA, 516 nt
Filed under: uncultured bacterium
Lineage: Bacteria
Description: bacterial SSU rRNA
Rfam family: Bacterial small subunit ribosomal RNA
Source: RNAcentral